ACCGAAGCCUGUAACCGCCUCCGGGCGUGACGGGCGGCUGGUAUCCUCCUUCUGAGGGGUGUAUGUUGCAGCUUGGGCCGGCCCUAAUGGGUCGCGAAUCCCCAAUCCUGCGGCGGACCAUCCCUUGGGCAACUCAGUGGGGGCAAUUGGAUGGCUCGUAGGCAUCUUCGGCGGCUUCGGCCCUGGAGGUGACUCGGGCCGGGCGCUGGGCUUCGGUCCACGUCCCGACCUUUUAACUAGCUCCGACACCUCUUCAUUGAGGGUUGCCGGGCAGGCCUUUUGUUCUUCGGGGCGAAGGGCCCACCCGGGAAAGAUAGUUACCUGGUUGAUUCUGCCAGUAGUCAUAUGCUUGUCUCAA
This 358-nucleotide unclassified non-coding RNA is filed under the name Cladonia cf. cervicornis. Its description in RNAcentral is "partial 28S-18S ribosomal RNA intergenic spacer". Lineage: Eukaryota; Fungi; Ascomycota; Lecanoromycetes; Lecanorales; Cladoniaceae. The record is from RNAcentral.